RNAcentral lists this ribosomal RNA (502 nucleotides) under uncultured bacterium. RNAcentral's name for it is "partial 16S ribosomal RNA". It matches the Rfam family "Bacterial small subunit ribosomal RNA", at positions 28 to 507 of the family's 1533-position model. The record is from RNAcentral.
GACGAACGCUGGCGGCGUGCCUAAUACAUGCAAGUCGAACGAACCGCGACUAAGUGCUUGCACUAAGUCAAGGUGAGUGGCGAACGGGUGAGUAACACGUGGGUAACCUACCUCAUAGUGGGGGAUAACAGUCGGAAACGACUGCUAAUACCGCAUAGGACAUAGGAUCACAUGAUCCAGUGAGGAAAGGUGGCGCAAGCUAUCGCUAAGAGAUGGACCCGCGGUGCAUUAGCUAGUUGGUAGGGUAAAGGCCUACCAAGGCGAUGAUGCAUAGCCGGCCUGGAAGGGGGAUCGGCCACAUUGGGACUGAGACACGGCCCAAACUCCUACGGGAGGCAGCAGUAGGGAAUCUUCCGCAAUGGACGCAAGACUGACGGAGCAACGCCGCGUGAGUGAAGAAGGUCUUCGGAUCGUAAAGCUCUGUUGUUAGAGAAGAACAGCGCAUAGAGUAACUGCUAUGCGUGUGACGGUAUCUAACCAGAAAGCCACGGCUAACUACGUG